This 240-nucleotide ribosomal RNA is filed under the name uncultured bacterium. RNAcentral's name for it is "partial 16S ribosomal RNA". It matches the Rfam family "Bacterial small subunit ribosomal RNA", at positions 118 to 352 of the family's 1533-position model. The record is from RNAcentral.
UGAGGAACAUGACUUUCGGCGGGGGAUAGCCGGCCCAACGGCCGGGUAAAACCGCGUACGACCACUUUGGGACAUCCCUAGGUGGUGGAAGCAGCAAUGCGCCGAUGGAGUGCCUCGCGGCCUAUCAGCUAGUUGGUGAGGUAACGGCUCACCAAGGCGACGACGGGUAGCUGGUCUGAGAGGAUGGCCAGCCACAGUUGGGACUGAGACACGGCCCAGACCUCCGUACGGGGAGNAGCG